RNAcentral lists this ribosomal RNA (462 nucleotides) under uncultured bacterium. RNAcentral describes it as "SSU rRNA". It matches the Rfam family "Bacterial small subunit ribosomal RNA", at positions 26 to 518 of the family's 1533-position model. The record is from RNAcentral.
AGAAUCAACGCUGGCGGCGUGCCUAACACAUGCAAGUCGAACGAGAAAGUGGUAGCAAUACCAUGAGUACAGUGGCGCACGGGUGAGUAACACGUGACUAACCUACCCUGGAGUGGGGGAUAACUGAGGGAAACCUUAGCUAAUACCGCAUAAUACCUACGGGUCAAAGGAGCAAUUCGCUUCAGGAGGGGGUCGCGGCCGAUUAGUUAGUUGGCGGGGUAAUGGCCCACCAAGACAGUGAUCGGUAUCCGGCCUGAGAGGGCGCACGGACACACUGGAACUGAAACACGGUCCAGACUCCUACGGGAGGCAGCAGUGGGGAAUUUUGCGCAAUGGGGGAAACCCUGACGCAGCAACGCCGCGUGGAGGAUGAAGUCCUUCGGGACGUAAACUCCUUUCGAUCGGGACGAUAAUGACGGUACCGGAAGAAGAAGCCCCGGCUAACUUCGUGCCAGCAGCCGC